AAUUGUUCGCAAUGGGCGCAAGCCUGACGACGCAACGCCGCGUGGAGGAUGAAGACUUUCGGGUCGUAAACUCCUUUCGACCGAGAUGAAUAGCCCGGGAUCUAAUAGUUCCCGGGCCUGACAGUAUCGAGGGAAGAAGCCCCGGCUAACUCCGUGCCAGCAGCCGCGGUAAUACGGGGGGGGCAAGCGUUGUUCGGAAUUACUGGGCGUAAAGGGUUCGUAGGUGGCUUGCUAAGUCAGACGUGAAAUCCCUCAGCUUAACUGGGGAACUGCGUCUGAGACUGGCGAGCUUGAGGGCAGGAGAGGAACGCGGAAUUCCAGGUGUAGCGGUGAAAUGCGUAGAUAUCUGGAGGAACACCGGUGGCGAAGGCGGCGUUCUGGACUGCAUCUGACGCUGAGGCGCGAAAGCGUGGGGAGCAAAC
RNAcentral lists this ribosomal RNA (422 nucleotides) under uncultured bacterium. RNAcentral's name for it is "bacterial SSU rRNA". It matches the Rfam family "Bacterial small subunit ribosomal RNA", at positions 360 to 773 of the family's 1533-position model. The record is from RNAcentral.